RNAcentral lists this ribosomal RNA (478 nucleotides) under uncultured bacterium. RNAcentral's name for it is "partial 16S ribosomal RNA". It matches the Rfam family "Bacterial small subunit ribosomal RNA", at positions 28 to 523 of the family's 1533-position model. The record is from RNAcentral.
GACGAACGCUGGCGGCGUGCUUAACACAUGCAAGUCGAACGGUAAGGCCCUUCGGGGUACACGAGUGGCGAACGGGUGAGUAACACGUGGGUGAUCUGCCCUGCACUUCGGGAUGAGCCUGGGAAACUGGGUCUAAUACCGGAUAGGACUCCUGGCUUCAUGGUUGGGGGUGGAAAGCUUUUGCGGUUGGGGGUGGGGCCGCGGCCUAGCGGCUGGUUGGUGGGGUAAUGGCCUACCAAGGCGACGACGGGCAGCCGGCCGUAGAUGGUGACCGGUCACACGGGGACGGGGAUACGGCCCAGCCUCCUACGGGAGGCAGCAGUGGGGAAUAUUGCACAAUGGGCGCAAGCCUGAUGCAGCGACGCCGCGUGAGGGAUGACGGCCUUCGGGUUGUAAACCUCUUUCAGCUAUGACGAAGCGCAAGUGACGGUAGUAGCAGAAGAAGGACCGGCCAACUACGUGCCAGCCGCCGCCGUAA